This 460-nucleotide ribosomal RNA is filed under the name uncultured bacterium. RNAcentral's name for it is "partial 16S ribosomal RNA". It matches the Rfam family "Bacterial small subunit ribosomal RNA", at positions 28 to 507 of the family's 1533-position model. The record is from RNAcentral.
GAUGAACGCUGGCGGCAUGCCUAACACAUGCAAGUCGGACGGGAAGAGGUGUUUCCAGUGGCGGUCGGGUGAGCAACGCGUAAGAACGUGCCCUUGGGAGGGGAACAACAGCUGGAAACGGCUGCUAAUACCCCGUAGGCUGAGGAGCAAAAGGUGGAAUCCGCCCGAGGAGGCGCUUGCGUCUGAGUAGCUAGUUGGUGAGGCAAUGGCUUACCAAGGCGAUGAGCAAUAGCUGAACUGAGAGGAGGAUCAGCCACACUGGGACUGAGACACGGGCCAGACUCCGACGGGAGGCCGCAGCAGGCACUUUUGGGCAGCGGGAGUAAGCCUGAUUCAGCAAUGCCGGGUGGGCGAAGGAGGCCUUCCGGCGGGAAAGUAGUAUUCCUAGGGAACAAGAGCUGCUUUUCCAGGCGAAGAAGCAAUGACGGUAUCUAAGGAAUAAGCAUCGGCUAACUCCGUG